Molecule: long non-coding RNA, 573 nt
Organism: Oncorhynchus tshawytscha (Chinook salmon)
Lineage: Eukaryota; Metazoa; Chordata; Actinopteri; Salmoniformes; Salmonidae
Source: Ensembl
CUGCCUCCAUCUCCUGGAGGAACACAUGGAACUCUACUUCAACCACAGCCGGCACUAUAAAGACCAUACAGAACCAAGACGGCUCCUACUCUGUGGAGAGACGGUUGGUCCUGCCUGAUAGUGGCUCUGAAGACCACCUGAUCUGUGCUGUCAUACACCCCUCCAGGACAUAGAAGCACAUUGAGACAAACCUGGCAUUUUGUGGGAAGAAGCGGUCUGGUAAUUUGGGGAUGGACAUCUCUCAUAUCCUGAAGAUUGCAGGCAUCUGCACAAUUCCCAUCCUCCUGACCAUGGCGUAUGUAGUGAGAGGAGGAUGCAAGAAACCAUCUCAGGAAUCAGAAGUGGAACUGAGUGAGCUGAGAAUACAGGAAGCUGACGUAAAACAAAGAGGCAGUAUGUGUGAGCCUCUAUGAUGAUGUGAUAUCAUUUUCAUUCAAUUGUAACAGCUGUGUAACAACUAUUUGACUGUCUUUUAAAUAAUAUAUUUUGAGGCAAAGUUCAAUGAGACAUUUAUUUCAACUGUAGCUGUUGAAUACAUCUCAGUUACUUAAAUAAAUAAAUACGUUACUCAAG